RNAcentral lists this ribosomal RNA (497 nucleotides) under uncultured bacterium. RNAcentral describes it as "partial 16S ribosomal RNA". It matches the Rfam family "Bacterial small subunit ribosomal RNA", at positions 28 to 507 of the family's 1533-position model. The record is from RNAcentral.
GAUGAACGCUGGCGGCGUGCCUAAUACAUGCAAGUCGAGCGAACAGACUAUGAGCUUUCUCCUCUGACGUUAUCUGCUGACGUGUGAUUAACACGUGUAUAACCUACCUAUAAUUCUUGGAUAACUUCGUGAAACCGUAGCUAAUACCGUAUAAUAUAUUGAACCUCAUGGUUCUAUAUUUAAAGUCGUUUUUUCUUUCACUUAUAGAUGUUUCCGCGCCGCAUUAGCUAGUUGGUAAGGUAACGGCUUACCAAGGCAACGAUGCGUAGCCGACAUGAGAGGGAGAUAGGCCACACUGGAACUGAGAAACGGUAAAGACGCCUACGGGAGGCAGCAGUAGGGAAUCGUACGCAAUGGGCGAAAGCAUGACGGAGCAACGCCGCGUGAGUGAUGAAGGUCUUAGGAUCGUAAAACUCUGUUAGUAGGGAAGAAAAAAUGUGUAAGUAAAUAUGAACGUAUUGACGGUAACUAAUCAGAAAGCAACGGCUAACUACGUG